AGUAAUGCAGAAUUCUACUUCAAUUGAGAACCAAAGAUAAUUCACUCUACAGAUAAGGAAAAGUAAACUCCCACCAAAUAAGCUUAUGACCUUAAAAUACAAGGGGUCAUUUAUAGCUGUACUUUUUUUUGUUUGCCCCAGAUUGAGACGUGAUAAAACAAAACCUUUACAUAGUUAGUUACUUUCCUGGGACAUUACAUCUCAAUACUGAAUUAAUUGUAUGCUCAACAAUAAAUGGUCCAAGGUCAUCAUUGUUGCCAGGUGCUAGUUCCAUUCUUUACCAGUUUUUCUGUUUUUGAUACCUGUUUAUAUUCAUAUGUAUUACAACUUUUAGCUUAAAAUUAGAUUUAGGCAUUUUCUUUAUAUUGUUAGGGAUCCCUGUAUACACAUCAAACAAAAGGUUACCCAAUCUUCUAUCGNNNNNNNNNNNNNNNNNNNNNNNNNNNNNNNNNNNNNNNNNNNNNNNNNNNNNNNNNNNNNNNNNNNNNNNNNNNNNNNNNNNNNNNNNNNNNNNNNNNNNNNNNNNNNNNNNNNNNNNNNNNNNNNNNNNNNNNNNNNNNNNNNNNNNNNNNNNNNNNNNNNNNNNNNNNNNNNNNNNNNNNNNNNNNNNNNNNNNNNNNNNNNNNNNNNNNNNNNNNNNNNNNNGGAAGAGAAAACUCAUGAGCACCAAACAAAACAACUAGAGAUAAAAGACUAUUACAUAUUUAAUUCCAAUUCAAAUAUUCUCAUAUCUCUCCUUCCCUAGAACAGAAGAGAAUUGCCUGGGAAACAUCCCAUGCCCAAUGUCUUCUUUUUCUUCUUCUAAUGUCCAGUUGUGCAUUGCGUCCUUUACAUCAUAGGAACUCCAAACUAAUUUAGAACCACUCAACUACCGACCACAGUGGCAUCACGACCUGAUGCUGCAACAAGAGAUGAUAUACAAGUCACAUAGGUGAUUCAUCUUUUUUCAGUUUGACUGUAAGCAUCCUCCUCAGCCCAUCUUCACAAGGCUUGGUGUAAUAUUUGGUAAGAUUUAACUGUAAAUAUCUAUCUCUCCUUAGCCUAUCUCCACAAGUCUUUGUGUAUCAUUUGGUAUCAUAUGCCUAUAAAGUAGCUCCAUUAGGAUUUGAAAGUCAUGCAUCUCCUAAUCCUAAAGAUAUCUCCUAAAUUUCAACUUCCAACAAACUCCUCCUUCAUGUACCCUUUUGAUCUAUUAUAUUGACAUCUUUUUAUUUUGAUAAUAUAUAUAUGUGCUAGGGAAGGCAAUUCUCAAUUGUAUUAACCUAUUGUAUGUUGUCCUUCUUGUCAUCAAAAUAUCUAUUGUUUCUCUCCAUCCAAGUAAACAAAAAAAAAAGCAAACAGGGAUAGAAAAUCCAGUAGUGCAUGUUAUCCAUUGAUGAAGAAUCUUCAUACAACCUGCAUAUUACAAGUUUUAUGGACCUUCACAUGACCUGGUGAACACCAAAAAUAAUAAGAAAAAUAGUCCGGAUCUGUCUAGUCAAAAUAUGAUCAAGCAGUAUAAUUCACAGAUUCAAUGACUUCUUCACAAAAGAGGCAUCUAAUUCACACAGUGAAACUCCUUUUCUAAGAUUUAUGAAUUUUGAAGGCGUUGUAUGUAAUAAUCAAACUGAAAAAAGAAGCUCUUGGGGGACCAAUUGUAUUCCAAAUUCUUCUCCGUCGCCAACCAUUUUGAGUCUCCUGUACUUUCCAAAAGAUUUUUAUAGCAUGGCUUGACAGUAAACUUUCCAUCCUUCUUAAUUUUCCACCAUAUUAAGUUAGCUUCCUGUUCAUUGCUGGAGAGUUUCCAACUUCUUGAAUAGUUUGUUAAUCCAUAUCUUCAAUUUUACAGUCAAAUAAGUUUCUUCUCUAGUGUAAAUUCCUUCCUCUAGUAGAAUAACAGUCUGUCAUAGUGCAUUUUGUGCUAAUGUGUACAGGUCUUAUAGAAUAUCAUCCAUCCACCUAUCAGUCCACCACCUUACUUUCUUUCCGUUGCCCAUUUUAAGCUUUACAACAUCAAGAAACUCUUUACAGAGGUUCCUGAUGUGUUCCAGACUGAUACCCCAUAGGAUAUUUUACAAUAUUAGUGCAGUGUUCCUCAUAUUUUUCCAUACUUAGAGAACAUCAUUCCAUGAAUCAUCACUACUAUUGUGGAACCUCUAGUUCCAUUUCAACAACAGACUUCCAUUUUGUAAUGGAAGACUUUUACCCCAAAACCCUGAAUAUUUUAUAUCUACUGGCAGUAUUACACUUUACUGAAUGGGUUUUCUACUUUUCCCAGUUCUUCUCCCAUAAGGAGUUUCUCCUUGUCCUGUCCAAUUUCUUUUCCAUACUCUUGGCCUUGGUCAUACAAACUAAUGGCAUUAUAUGUUUGGAGAUUCCAUCCAAUAGACCAUUAAUCAAGGUCAACCUGCCCCCAGAAGAUGUGCUGCUCCUUUCAAAGUGCCACUUUUCUUUCACACUUAUUUAUCACCCCAUGCCAAACAUUAGCAUCCUUUUUCUUUGCACCCAAACACAUACCAAGAUAAGUUUUCGGGAAACUCCCAUAUUUGCAACAUUACAACAUAAAUGAAUGCCAGCUUGUAACUAAUGGAUCUGCAUUAAUAGAAAAAAAUGUGCCCAAUUCACAUGAAAACCAGAUGUAAUGACCCUUCAGAUCAUUUCCUCAAUUUGUAUGCAUUUGUGGCAUUUCAAGUCUUCCCACAAUGGGUUAGAACUGUUGGUUUGGUUAUCGAGCAGUUUGUUUGGAUUUUAGGCUCAUUUUCCAAUUUUGGAGUUUUCGCUGUAUAGGAUUUGGUAUUGAAUCAAAACUUCUAGUAGAUGACCUCAGAUGAGAAUUCCAAUCGAGCCAUUAGCUCUAGAACAUUAAUUUUAUGCUAGAGUGACCCUUGGUUCAUAUCCCGAGGCUUUCAGACUCAUUUUGAGCUAUUAGGCAGAUUAUGUGAACAAUGGAACUAUAGAUGUGUGUCGCACACUUAGUUGAAACAACCUCGGAUGCAAGUUUAGAGGGUUCAAUUGAGUCUGGAACGUCAAAUUUGGUACGAUAGCAUAUUAUUUUUGCGCACAUGGAAUUUUGAAAGAAACCCAAACACCCGGUCGAAGUCUGUUUUAGACUUAGCCAAUCUGGUGCAUCAGGUUACUAGUGUGACCGCUUAAGUAAUAAAAUGAUUACUUAUGUGGUCAUCGCGUAUGCAGCUAUUUUUUCCUUAAGCGACACUGGCCACGUAGUCAGUGUUUACCCAUGCGAUGCUUUGUCCACCUAAGCGGGCACCGCGCAAGCGGCCUACGGUUCGCGUAAGAGCCAUCCGACCCCUCAUGAUAGAUCAUGUAAACAAUAGGUAAGUCUCUUAAGCGACUAUCACUUAAGAGACAGGGUGAUCUCUUAAGAGACACCUGGCACUAUUUAACCCUCUUUCUCCACCCUUUUUUCUAUCACUUCUUCCACCAUUCUUACACUAAAUAGAGAGCUUAUAGAGUGCAAAAAGUUUGAAAUCAUCCACAAAGGUUAUGGUAAGCUAACUUAACUCUUCUUGGUCAUUUUCCAUUGAUUUUCUCUUCAACGUCCAUCAUAAUUAUUGGUAAAGAUCUUUGAAAUUAGGGGUUAAAUUCCUAAAUUUUGAGGGUUAAUUUGAGACCCAAAUUGUGCUCUAUUUGUCCUAAAAUUUUAAGCACAAUUUCCUUGUCCUUCGAGGGACCUCGUGACGGGUUCAAUUUUGGAUUCCAUUUGUGGGCACCGCGAGCGUGUUCUUGACCUGAAAUUUGAUCGACCCAUAAUAUAGAAAUAUAGGUCUUGUUUUACUCCUACUGAUUUGUAGAUCUAUUCAACAACAUGACGGUGUUUUGGGAUCAUGGAAUGAAAAUAAAUAAUUUGUGGAUGAUUCAAAAGUUGCAGUUCGACAUUAAGGUAGGCUUGUGUCUUCUGUUUUUCUUGAGAUGGUGUUUACAUAUGUUAUAUGUUCCAUAGAGGUAUUAUGAUAUGAUUGUGCGUAUAACACCAUGACUUAGCCUAAAUUAUCAAUUUAGGGGCUAGAAGGGUAUUUAACCUUAAAUUGAAAUACUUAUUAUACUUCUAUAAUCCUAUUACCUUCUUUAUAGAUAGAGCUAAUUCAUAGCAUGAUUAUGAGGUUAUUCUAGAUAUGGGAUGGGAUUUAGACACUGGAAAUACGAUUAGUAUGAUUAGUCUUAUUUUGAUUGUUUAGGCUAUCUUUAAAUCGUAAUUUAGAUGAAAUUGGCUUAGUUGCUUAUGUUUUAGGAGAAAUUUCUAUCUUAAGGCUAAUCAUGCCUUAUGUAUCAUCUAGAAGUCGAUGUGGAUACCUUACCCUAGUCCAAGGGGUAAUUGUCCAAAUAUGGAUUUCGGAUAUAAUAAGUGGGCUCCUUCAGCCCACUUUAGGCCAAGACCCGUGUUAGAUUUUAUAGACUUAUUUACACAUGUUAGCAUGAUUAAACUCAAUUAAGGUUAAUAAACCCUUAAUAUGAUGUUAGUACAUUACUUGGUGGAUUGUAAUGGUCUUUUCCUAAAUUAUGAUGCUAUGGUUAUUCUGGAUAUAUAUUGUGCCUAAGGCCGUGAUUAUGAUGUUAUGAUUAUAUGUUGGCCCAAGGCCAUAGUUAUGAUGUCAUUGUUAUGCUAAAUAUAUAUUGGUCCCAAGGCCUUAGUCAUGAUAUUGGUUGGGUUUGGGAAAUUGUCUUAUCCUUGUAAAGGAAGUGGUCGCAACUUAUAGACAAAUUGAUGUUUAUAAUCAUAUUAUUUGUAUACUGAUGAUGGAAAGCAUAGAUUUGGUGCAAUCAUGAUCACUUAGACGAUAAAUGGUACAAUUACAACUAAAUUAUGGAUUACUCUUUUCCUAAAAAAGGGAUUUUCCCACUUUUCACUCUUAAAAUAGAUUUCUUCAAAAUGAGAAUCAUAUUAUAUUCAUGAAUAACUUAUGACUUCUUGACUAAUAAUGAUGAUCUUUGAGAUUUGAUCAAGAUAGAUUUUGAUCAACAGUCUUACUACUACCAUUUACCCCAAUCAAGUGAGAUUCUGACCCUUUCUACACUCAUAUGAUGAUUUAGUCUCAAAGUUUACUCUGAGUAUUAGAUUUAUGAACUCAUACUCUUUUAGCCACGAUUCUAUCCAUGCGCUUAUAUACAUGUAUAUACAUAUAUCUGUGGUACUGAAUAAAUAGAUGAUUGAUAAUGAUAUUGAUGAUGUGAGCUCUGGUUUAAUUUUGGUGAUUGAUGAUGAUACGAUGAUGUGAGUUCUAGUUCAAGUCCGAUGAUUGAUCAUGAUAUUUAUCAUAUGAGUUUUGAUUCAAGUCUAAUGAUUGAUGAUGAUAGUGAUGAUAUCAGUUUAUACACACUAGGUUAUUUUAUAGCAUUCAAAUCAAUUAUGGUACUAUGGAUUAUAUCUUGGUAUUCAUUCUUGCAUGUGCAUUGCCUAUAACCAAUAUGUGCCUAUAUCUAUCAACCUUAUGGGUGGUUGCAUAUGUAUAAGUAUAAGUGCUGAUUAUAGUAUAUUGUGUGGAGCUUGUAUUUAUCAGCCCUAUUGGGGGUUGCAUAGGUAUAGGCUUGGACUGUUGUUUGCUGAAUAUUGAUUGAAACUUCUAAGCCUUUGACAAUGGUGUUUUAUGAAAGGCCCAGUUAGGUAUUAUUUGUCUGGACUAGCAGAUUGCCUUGUAUUGUUAUUCUUAUUGUUAUUAUAGUUAGUUUGUGACCUGUUGAUUAUUUGAUUGGUAUUGAGAUUUGAGGUAUGAUUCUUAUUCUUUCAUCUUACGAUCAUAUUAUUAUGCUUGAUUAUCCUAUGAAGGCAUUAUGGCUUUAGACCCUAAUAUCUUGAUCCCUUUCUUGGCAAUUACUUUAUUAUGGAUAAUUAGCUCAUGUAUAGCUGUAUGGAUUAGAGAACCUGACUAUUUUAGCACUAGUUCCUACUAGAUUAGGAGGCUGGGGAUACCAGUAUGAUUACUUAGAUAGUACUCUUGGGUUAGCCUUGUUAUGUAUAUAUAUCAUCUAUAGUAGUUAUGGUAUUACUGUAUAUCCCCCCCAUACUCAUGCUGUAUAUCCAUUCCUUUAUCUUGUAUACUACAAUAUAUAUCCUUCUUUCACUCUUUAUUCGUACAUUGACUAGUGAUAUAUGGUAUAGUGCUAGGGUCUCAGAGUAUGGUUGGUAUGGGGUAACUUAUCCUUGUUGUUCCAUCAGCUUAUUAUGUUUGUUGCUUGGAUAUAAAUAGAAUAAUUAUCCUUAUAGUCUCAUUAGCCUUAUUAUGUUUGUUGGAUAUUUGGGUAUAUUUUACAUCUUGCUUGUAUGCUAUUUAUAUUUGCAUUAUCUUUGGAGCUUAGUCGGUAGUUUCCUACUGGGUACCACGUGUUUGGUACUCAUACUAUACUUCUGCAACCUACAAAUUAUAGUAUGGGUUCUCGCUGUUAUUGUGUGUAUCAUGUGGAGAAGCUAUGGUUCAAAGACAUAGGGUAAGCUCCUGUCAUUUAGAGAAUUACUAUUUUCCUCCUAUGUGUUAGACUGAUCUCUAUGUUGUAUUCAAAGAUAGGUUGUAUACGUAUAUUUAUUUAGUACUUUAUUUUGUAACCAUAUUACAUUAGAAGCUCUUGUACUGAUUCCACCAGGUUUUUAGACUAUCUUUUGUAUUUUAGUCUUUUAUUUUAUUUAUUCCACAGUUUCCCUCCAUUUCUUUGGGUUGUUUGUUACUAGUAGUUCUAGACUAUGGGUUGGCUUACCUCUUGGUGGGUUAUAGUAGGCACCAUCAUAACCUCAGAAAUUAGGUUGUGACAAAUUGUUAUCAAAGCCUAGGUUUACCCGUGUGUUGGUACCUGAGCUAAGUGUCUAAUAGAGUUUUGCAGAUUGGCACAGAGACGUUUGUAACCUAUCUUUGAGAGGCUACAAGGCAUUCUUAGGAAAUUCUAUUCUUGACUCCUUGUCAUGUUUCCAUAUUUCUAUGAGCCUCAAGUACGUUCUUUGACUAAAUUUUGUCCCAGAUGGAUGAUGCAAGGUAUUCAAUAGAUGCGGAUGAGACUUCAACAUACAUUUCUAUAGCUUUAGUGCAAUAUUGGACUAGGGAGUCAGGAUGUGUCAAAACUCUUCAGCAUUAAUCAGAGGAUUUGGGGACAACCAAGGCACCGGUAGAGUUUGCGACCACUUCAUAUUUUUUGAGAUUCAACAUUAGGGAUCCCAAGUUUUUUUGCGAAUACCUCACAAUAGGGAUGACAUUCCAUUCAUUGAGUAGUUCUCAAGCUAGAGUUGGAUUCAUUGGUUUUCAUCAUGGUUCUUUAUCAUAUUCAGAGUACGAGAUUGGGUUUCUUGAAUGCUCCAUGCAUAUUUCUAUGCUAUAUCCUUCUAAGCAUGAUAUGGUGCAUUGAUUUAUUAGAGAAUUAGCAUUGCCAAUCUGUUUGGUAUCGAACCACUUGAUAGUAGUUGGAUCUUCCUUCUCUUAGCUAGUUAAUCAUGCGAGGGCCAUAGAGAGAGAAUGUAUUAAGACUUAUGAAGGUGGAUAUAAGAGUCCAUGUUAUUUGUACAGUGCUAUUGAUGUUCUAUCCAGGAGUGAGGAUCCUUUGGGUGGGGAUCAGCUUCACUUGUAGCCUAUUAGUUCCAUGCAGGUAGCAUCUCAGGCUAUGGGCGGCUCUUAGAUUAUUCAUGGUGAUCACUGUGCGUAGAGUUCUCAUCGACCUUGUGGAGUUUUUUAUAUGGGUUUUUAGGAUGUAGUGGCCAUUCUGCUUCAACCGGGUUAGUAUCUCAGAGUAUUCUAUGAGCUUGUUAUGGUUAUGGUAAAGAUGGGACAUUGAUCUAGAGAGUGCUCCAGACACGAGUGGGUUGUUCAGACAGAGUUAGUAUUCAUUCCUCACCAUCCUCUUGAGGUGUGUUAUGAAUGUGGGAGGGAUGGUAGUUUUAGUAGAGAGUGCCUUAGGCAUCUAUUGGUUAGAUAGUUAGGGUAAAUUCAUAUUUCUCACUAGGUUAGGGCUUCAAGGGUUUGCUACGAUUGUAGAAAGAUCGACCACUAGUCUAGAGAGUGUCCCCGAUGAGGGAUUAUUAGUCAUUCAACCCUUUCAGAUUAAUCUCAUGGUGUUGUAGCACAUUUAGUUAGGUGUAUUAGACUUAGCAGCUCAGUUGAUGAUUUUGAUGCUCAGUCCAAGUUUGGAUUAAUUCAGAUUUAUUAACCCUCAGGCACGUCAGGCAUAUGACUUUAGAUUUCACCGUGAUAGGUGCAUUUUUUUAUUUCCUGACUUUACCUUUUCAUUGGUAUGUAUUGGGUUUCUUGUACCUAUCGAUGAUUGUAUGCCUUGGUAGGGUUAUAUCAAUUGUUGUGUUUCUUGAUAUAGAAUUUAUGAUUAUAUGACUAACCCCAUAGAUUAUUUCUUUUAGAAGUGGAUGAAGUGGAUCAGUGUUGAUAUUUUCCCUUGGGGUGUAGUAUUUGGGUUCAAGUCCUAUUUACCUUGGCAUAUUGGGCUUCUUAUGGCCCUAUAGUGGUACUUGCUAUUGAGUUUUGUUUUGGUGCCGCCUAUUCCCUUAUAUUGAUGUUUAUAUCGCUAUUGUUAUUAUUUUCAUUAUUUGAUAUAAUUGAUCCUUGUUUGUUAGAUGGCUAGACUAUUAGUAUUUAAUUAGAAUUUCCCCUUCCUUAUGGUUCUUAUUCGUUGGAUUGGGCAACUAGCUUAGUUGGAUGUUGUAUCUAUUAUAUCGAGGUGAGGUUGGUUGUUUUCCUCUUCUAUUGGGAAUGCUAGGCUAGUUGUUUAGUAGAUUAUGGUAUUGAAGGUAAGUUGACCUUCCGUGGUUUUGUUAUGGUUCUAGAGUUGGCAAUUUGAUUAUAUUGCUCAUUCUUGAGUUUGAGAUUCUAAGACUUGCCUCUUAGCUUAUAGAAGUUUUAGCAUUUGCUAUUCCUCUCUAUUUUGCUCAUUUUUGAGGAUGAUCUAUUUGGAGUCUAUUUUUUUAAUCUGACUAGUUCAUCACCUAAUAGUGGUUUUAAUGUUGAUGCUGAGAAGUCUUGGAUUCAUCGUUCUAGUUUGUUGGGUUCAUCUACCGGUAAUGGUUUGCUCUUAGUAUUAGUGUGGAGUUAGGUAUUAUGUUCUUUUCGUGAUGUAGUUAUUGUCUAAGUGGAGUUAAAGAGUUUGGGAUAAGUGAUCUUUCUUAUGAUCGCUUCUUAGUUGGGAAAUUAGAAUUUGCUAUCUCGAGUUACUUGAUUUAUUUUUUGGUAGUGGUCUUGACCUUGUCUUUAGUGUUGAGAUUUGUUACCUUCUUUUUCUAGAAUGUAAUUCAUGGAUUGAUUGAGUUAAUAUUGUCCUACUAGGGUGGAUUCAGUAAAUCCUUAUUUUGGAAUUUGUUCGGCCUAAUAAGACUUUGUGAAGUUAUUUUCCUGGGAAAUAUGUUCCUAUAUAUAUUCGUUGUCCUGGUGGAGUAUUAGAUCCUAUGGGUAUUCAUUGUCCUGAUGGAGUAUUAGAUCGAUUAGUUUGUCAAUAAAGUUGCAUUUCUCAAAGUUGCUAGUGUUUUGGUUAUCUUUAGUCCAGUUUACAGCCUUUAUGAGUUCUUUAGUAUGCAUUGAUGAUUUGUACCCUUUAGUGGAUAUAGAGUUAGUUUCUGUGUUUUCAGCCAAUGAUUUAUCCUCUGUUGUGAUUUUGUUCUUCAUCUAUAUUUUUAUUUUUCCUUAACAUAAUUCAAUAAAGAUAUGUCUGAUUUGGAUAGUAAGGUCAAUUUGAGUAUUUGGCCUUAGUUCAGGUAUGUUGCUUAGUUUUUAAUUUGACACCUUGGAAUGACAAUUUGGAGGUUAUGAUAGAUUGGGAGUGUGGAUUCUUACCCAUCUUUAGGUUUGGUUUGAGUAGUUGAGGUUAAGCGAUUCAUCCUUAGUAUCGAUAUGAUAGCUUGGAAUUAUAGAUCUUGGGUGUAGCCUUCGUAUUUAGAUUUGUCUCUAUUGGGGUUUUAUUUAUAGGCUGGCUAAGACUACUCCGUGGUUACCUAUUCGGUCUUCUUCCGUUCGGAUGGAUUAUGGGUUUUCAGAUGAUAGUUCAUGGACACAGUAUUAGUUUCUUCAGUUUGACGUUGAGUUUUUGUUUAUCGUAGGAUUUUUGAAUAUACUCAACAGAAGUAGUAUGCUUUGAGUUGGAUUCAACAUGGCUUCAUUUGAGGUUUAUAGGACAUCCUAGAGUGGAUCAUUUAGUGGUGAGUAGUUGUGCUUCGGACUCUUGAUUUUCUAUUUUGAGGGUUAUCUGGAUUAGUUGUAGCAUUGGCAUAGAUUGUAGACCCUGGUUGUCUCCAUUUGUGUGCCCAGGUAGUGCCUUAUGGUCUUAUUCUCGUGCUUGCUUUUAUGGAUUUUUGAUGGAGCAACUUCCCUUCUUUGCGGUUACUAUGAUGGGACUAUACGAAUAGGAACCGGGUCAUUUUUUCCUGGGUUAGAGUGGAUAACAGGUUUGGAAAGGCAAAAAAAGGUUAUGUUCAGAUUUGGUGUUGGUUGCAUAACUCAUGCCUUGGUUUUCCUUUGGCUUGGAUAAUUUUUGUUUGAUUGUGCUAGUAUCGGUGUGGUAUAUCAUGUCAUGGUUUGGCUUUGCGUGCAUCUGCCUUCCUCGAUUUGGUUGGAGGUUAGUUGGUGAUUGAGGUUAAGUUUUUGUUAUUGAGAAAGAAAGAAAAAAAGUUGGCUAAUAAAGGGAUACUUGUGGCAAAAUCCUGUGGAUGUGCUGUCUCUAGACAUUUUGUGGGAAGUCGUGGUCGAAGCAGGGCCCAAUACCUCGACCCUUUAAGAUUUCAUGAUCUUUUUAUCCAUUGACUUUUGCAGAUAAAAGUCCUUCUAGUAGUGGAUAUUAUAAUGACCCUCCAAGUUAUUUCUUCGAUUUGCAUGGAUUUUUGACAUUUCAAGCCUUCCCAUAACGGUGAAAAGUCAUUUGACUUUUUGGAACUUUCAGUUCGGUUAUCUGACAGUUUGUUUGGAUUUUAGGCUCAUUUUCAUAUUUAGAGCUUUUGCUAUAUAGGAUUUGGUCUCAGACCAAAACUCCUAUUAGAUGACCUCAGAUAAGAAUUCUGACUGUACCAUCAGCGUUGAAACAUUAAUUUUAGUCUAAACGGACCCUUGGUUCAGGUACCGAGGCUUUUGAACUCAAUUUGGGCUAUUGGGCAGAUUACACAAAAAAUAAAACUAUAGUUGUUGGCCCCACGCUUUGUUGAAACAACCUCGGAUGAAAGUUUCGAUGCUUUCAUUGAGUUCAAAACGUCAAAUUUGGUAUGGUAGCAUAUUUUGUUUGCGUACAAGGGAUUCUGAAAGAAUCCCGAACACUUGAUCGAAGUCCACUCCAGACUUAGCCAAUCUGGUGCAUCAAGUCACUGGUGUGACCGCUUAAGAGAUAAUAUGAUCACUUAUGCGGGUCAUCACUUACGCGACUAUUUCUCACUUAAGCGACACUGGCAAUCUGGUCAAUGUUUGCAUACUUGAUGCUUUGUCUGCCUAAGUGGGCACCGCGUAAGAGACUUGCAAUUUGCGUAAGCAAUACUUGGACUCUCAUAAUAGACCGUGUAAGUGAUAGGUGAGUCUCUUAAGAGACUAUUGCCUAAGCGUUAGGAUGAUUUCUCCAUCCGAUUUUCCAUCACUUUUUCCACUAUUCUUACACCAAAUUGAGAGAUUUAAGAGAGGGAAAAGUGGUAAAUCAUCCACAAAGGUUGAGGUAAGCUAACCUAACUCUUCUUGGUUAUUUCUAAUUGAUUUUCCCACCAUUUUCCAUCAUAAUUCUUGGUAAAAUUCUUAGAAAUUAGAGCUUGAAUUCUGAAACUUUAAGGGUUAUUUGAGACCCGAAUUGUGCUCCAUUUGUUCUCAAAUUUUGAGCACAAGUUCCUUGUCAUUCGAGAGACCUUGUGACGAGUUCAAUUUUGGAUUUUGUUAUGGUCCCUAUGGGCUCGUUCUUGACCCAAAGUUUGACCCGACCCUUAAUCUAGCAAUAUGGGUCUUAUUUUACUCCUAACAUUGUGUUGAUUUCUAUUUAGUAGUGUGAUGGCAUUUUGGGAUCGUGGAGUGAUGACGAAUAAUUUAUGGACAAUACAAGGGUUGCGGUUUGGCAUUGAGGUAGGCUUCUGUCCAUUUUUCUUCUUGAGAUAGAGUUUAUAUAUAUAUAUUAUAUGUUUGAUAGGGGUGUUAAGAUGUUAUUGUGGGUAGAACACCAUGACUUAAACUAAAUUGCGAGUUUGGGGGCUAGAAGGGUAUUUGACCCUUAAGAUGAAAUAUGUAUUAUACUUCUAUAAUCCUAUUACCUUCUUUAUAGAUAGAGCUAAUUUGUAGCAUGAUUAUAAGGUUAUUCCAGAUAGGGGAUGGGAUUUAUUCAUUUGAAACAUGAUUAAUAUGAUUAAUCAUAUUUGGAUUGUUUAGGCUAUCUUUGAACUGUAAUUUAGGUGAAACUGACGUAGUUUCUCAUGUUCUAGGAGGAAUUGCUAUUUUAGGGCUAAUCAUGACUUAUUUAUCAUCUAGAAGUGGAUGUGGAUACCUUAGCCUAGUUUGAGGUGGUAAUGGUAAUAAAAUUGAUUUCGAAGAUUUGAAGUAGGCUCCCUCAGCCCACCUUAGGCAAAGACCUAUGCUAUAUUUUGUAGACUUGUUUACAAAUGUUAGCAUAAUUAGACUCAAUUGAGGUUAAUGAACCUUUCGUAUGAUGUUAAUACAUUACUUGGUGAUUGUAAUGGUUUAUCGUUGAAUUAUGAUGCUAUGUUUAUUCCAGAUAAAUAUUGGACCUAAGGCCUUGAUUAUGAUGUUUGGUUAUAUGUUGGGCGGAAGUCUAUGAUAAUAAUUCUAUGGUUAUGAUGGAUAUAUAUAUUGGGCCCAAGGCCGUUGUUAUGAUAUUAGUUGGGUUUCGAGAAAUAUCCUAUCCUUGUAAAGGAAGUGGUCGUAGUUUAAAGACGUAUUGAUGCUUAUAAUCGUAUUAUUUGAAUAUUAUUGAUGGCACACAUCGAUAUUGUACAAUCAUGAUCACUUAGACGAUUAAUGGUAUGAUUCCAACAAAAAUACAGAUUACUCUUUUCCUAAAAGGGAUUUUUCCCACUUUUCACUUUUUAAAUAGAUUUCUCAUAACGGGGAUCAUAUCAUCUUCAUGAAUAACUUAUGAGGCUUCAAGACUAAUAAUGAUGAUCAUAGAGAUUUGAACGAGAUAGAUUUCGGUCCACAAUUUUACUACUACUAUUUACCCCGAUCGAGAGAGAUUCCAACCCUUUCUACACUUUUAUGAUGAUAUAGUCCUAGAGUUUACUCUUGGUAAUGGAUUUACAUUCUUUUAUAUAUAUAUAUAUAUAUAUAUAUAUAGAUCUAGUAGUGAAUGAAUAGCCGAUUGAUGAUGAUAUGAGUUUCGAUUCAAGUCUGACGAUUGAUGAUGAUAUUGAUGAUAUGAGUUUCAGUUCAAGUCCAGUGAUUGAUGAUGAUAUUGAUGAUAUGAGUUUUGGUUCAAGUUUGGUGAUUGAUGAUGAUAUUGAUGGUAUAGGUUUAUACACUAAGUUGCUUUAUGGCAUUCAGAUUAGUUAUGGUAUUAUAGAUUAUAUCUUGGCAUUUAUUCUUGCAUGCACAUUUCCUAUCAACAGCAUGAGUAUUGCCUAUCAAAUACAUACACCUAUAUUUAUCAGCCUUAUGAGGGUUGCAUAGGUAUAGUUGUGUAACACCCCAGAUUUUGAUCCCAGAAAAUUUCUAUGUUUUAAAACUCAUUGCCCAAACUAUGACUCUCCUAACGUGUCGUUAUGUGUCAUUACAAUUUUAGGGACCCAAUCGUAUCCUGGCCUAGAUUUUCUAUUAUGUCUAUGACUAAGAGGUUACGAGUUGUAAGGACUCAAAACAAAUCGUACAGUCCCAUCCCUAGCCAAACGAGUGUGAUUCCCAAAGUAUUCAGUCUUGACUAUGACUUGGAUCUUACGAGUCAUAGUAUCUCUUAACAAGUCAUAGGGUAGGAUUCAUAGGGUCACCAGAGAAGUUUCCUCAGCUAUUGUCCAGACUAUAAAUUGUGGUGAUGAUUGAUAGUGAGUCCUAACGAGUCAUAUAGUGACCCGUAGUCACUGGCAAUAAUUUUUCAGAUUUAAAGUUGAGGGAACUUUGGAUAUUUCCCUCUUUACCCACUUAAUACCCACGACCAUAAAACACCCUUAGGAUGUUAUUUUCAAUACUUUAAAACUCAAAACACUCAUUCAAGCUCUCUAAACUCUCCAAGGUCAAGAUACUUAGGGUUUCCAAGAAGUUGGUCAUCGAAGGGCUUAAGGGUUGAUUUCUCUCUAUAAAUCUUUGUAUUUCAGGCAUAUAACUAUUCCCCAAUUCUUAUUUUAUGAAAACAUGUGUUUUAAAUAGUUUAAUUAUAUGGAUUUAAAUGUGGGUUUUGAUAUGGUUGAGGGUUUUUGAAUGAUUGAUUCUUUAAUUGUUUUCCCAUGGUUUUGAUGAGUUACUCAUGCUUUGAAAUUUAUGUUUUGAACUAACGGGGUGCAUGGGUGUGGGAUUUUGAAUGGUGGUCAAGGUAUUCCCUCAAAUUAAUGUUUUAAACUUGGAGUUGAUUUUGAAUAAUUGUGUUCCCUCAAACCACUUGUGUAAUUGGCUUUGAAUUAUGGAAUUAUCACUUGGUUUGACUUACUCACUAAUGAGAUUGCACUGCAUAAAUGGUUAAACAAUGAACAUGGAUUUUGAAGGCCGUCCUAGAUAUGUUUGAUUUAAUCAACAAAAGGAGUCGAGGUAUUCCCCCAAGAUAAUGUGAUUGUUAUGGCAUAAAGAUAAGCUUGCAAGUGUAAAGGUAUGACAAUAAACAUGGUGUGCCUUAAUGGUUGAUUCUUGGGUUAAUAAAUGGCAUAUGUGAAACUUGUUUUAAAUUGUGCUUAAUGAGGAUUAUAUAGCUAAGCCGUGAAAGUAUGGGUCUUGGAUGACUUAUACUAGAAACUCAUGUUUGCCGACAUGAGGUUUGGUCGUGAUGACCGUAUGCACAGUUCACACUAUUGAUAUAUAAUUGUAUCUAGGAUUGAUCUGGGGUUGAGGUAUUCUAUGUUCUUCCUUAAUACCUCUGGUUCAUACGGCUAAGACACACUAGGGUCGUCCUUUCAGCAGGGGGAGAUGAACCCAUAUAGCCCGUGGAUGCCUAUUUAUGAUGAUUGAGCUACAAAGUCUAGGAUAAUGUUUGACUAUCAUGCUAAACCUUGUCCCCUAUUAUAACUCCCCAAAAUCUCAUCCUGGAGCGUUACACGAUACUUAAGGCUGCCCCAAGCUAACCCGUUGAGCUUUUUACCAUCUCAUUCCCUCACUUUGGGAAGUUAAACCAAACAAUGAUACCAUGAUAUAUUAACUCAAAACUUGAAUAACUGGAAAACAUAUUCUGAAAUAUCAAAUACUAAAAGUCUAAAACACAACUGCUAGUCUAGUCUGACAAAGCCUCUACUACUCAAACUGGAGAGCCAUUGGCACAGAACCUCAACUGACUCGAACUAAUAUGGAAGUAAUAAUUACUGAAAAUCUGAGAAAGUAGGUCCUUGAACCAUGGGGAUUCACCAAUUGUGUGAUGUAGGCAAAGACACUCGAGAAUUACUGUCACUGCUAAGACUGACCACCCAAACCUACAUUAUAAGACAAUGUAGCACACAAACGUAUAUGUGGAUCAACACUUUGGGAAUGUACUAAGUAUAUGGGAGUGUAUGCAUUUACAUAGAACAAUAUCAAUACUCUUUAAUAAAAUCAUGCAUGCAAAUAGGAAUGACUCACAUGGCUUGAAUACGUCUAAAAUAUAAAACUCAUAAAUCAUAAUAGUGAAACAUGUAACACAAAUCUCAUCAGUCAUUAUACUUAACUUUAAAAUCUAUACUCUCCUCUUAUUCUCAGUAUUUGAAGGCUAAAGGAAGCUUUAAACAAUACUUUCAAACUCAUUCUUUUAUCUGGUGGAGAGUUAAACUUCUUUAAAACUGAUAGACUUAGAACUUUUAGGAACUUUUACAACUUGGGAACCCUGGAACUCUUUAAGACUCAGGAGUUUCUUCUAACCUACAUAAAAUAUGUGAGCUACAUGGAGUCCAAUAUCUUGCCCACGUUGGGGAGAGCUAUUCUUCCCUUGACAUCAAAAUAGAACCUUAAACUUAAGUGAUUACUAUCUUGGCCUCAGGCCCAUAAAUCUCAAUCCUACGGUAGCACGUAGUUCUAGGGCAUGAAACCUUGGAAUCAUACCCAACUAGAUGCUAAAUACUACUCCCAUACUCAGCUUAAAACUUUUAGGAUAUCCACCUCAAAAUAACUCAAGGGUCUAUAAUGAAAACCAAAAUAUAUUCCUAUUUGCUUUAAAUCAUAAUCAAAUGUGGAUUCCUAUCUUAGCUUAGACCCAAGAGGUCAAAUCUUUAACUAAAAUCUUAAAAUAGCUUCGUUUUGGGGUACUCAUGACACAAACAGUCUUGAACAAUAAAGCUUAAAAUAGAGGUCUAUUGACCCAAACAAUAAAUCUCAAGGCAUUAUCUCAAAAUUCAUGCUUAAGAAUACAAUUAUUCAUAAGGUAUCUUAAAAUAUGUAAGUCUCAUCAAUAAGCAUAUAAACAUUUGCAAAAUCAUGCUAUUUGACUUUCAAUUCAUGGAAAGUAUCAAAACCUUGCAACUAAUGAUAAUGGGUGAAAAACCCUAACUCAAUUUCAUGUAAAAUCUUAUAAAUUGCAGAAAGCUUAUAAUUUAAAAUAAGCCUUUGGGCACAAGGAUGAAAAUAUUACCCUUGUUCAAACCCCAUAUACCUUAGAUUGUGAAAUUGGAUGAACAAGCUUGCUUGAGACUCUUUAUGGAACUCUUGAGAGAGGGUUAUUAAAGCCUUUGACUUGGGAACCUUGAAUCUUAACUUAAUUUGUAAAAUCUAUAGUGAGUUCUUGAAUUUCUUGCAGUAAGAUUUGGAUUUUCUCUAGAGGGUUAAUCUUGAGAGAAAACCCUAGUUUUUGAUGUCUAUAAAGAAUGUGAAGCUAUGUGCAUUAUUUUGGCUAUAUCUGAGUGUAAAAAGGGUGGAAAAAGACCAAAAAUCCCUUUUAAAAAUGACUUAAAAUCACUGAACGAAAUAGGCGAUGGUGGGUACGAUGGUCUGUUGAGGGCCCAACGGUCCGUCGGCCCUGACCGUCGUACCUGGGCUAGAAUUGGACUUUUUGGCUUGCCUACGAUGGCUGGGUUGAUGGUCCAUCGCUAGAUGAGCUAGUGUCUAGUGUAAGGGCUAAGAUGAAGAAGUUUGCUUUGGACGUAUCUCGAGACUUAGUGUUGGAGUGCAAGGCUAUCUUACUGAAUAGUGACAUAGAUAUCUCUAGGCUGGUGGUGUAUAUGCAACAACUUAAAGAUAAGAGAAAGAAGUAAGUCGAAUUUGUAAAAUUCUUUUUCUCGUUUUUUGACUCCAAAUUUUUGACUUAUGAAAAUUUGUAAAUAAUCCAUUUUUGCCUCUAGCGUGAGGGGCAAUUGAGCCUCCUUGGUGAAUUUGCAUGUCAUGUAUGGUUAGCUUAUUUGUUUGAAUCUCAUGUAUUUUUGUACCAUCUAGAACUUGCCCCAUUAGUCUCUCAAUUCUAAUUUUGAUUGUAUUUUGUUGGGAAAAUGAUCUUAGGAAAUCUUUUCGACUCUGGAAAUCUAAUUUAGCCAAAAAGCCUACCCUUGCAUAGAUGCUAUCCCUAGUCACCCACUUUGAGACUUUAUACCUUUUUUUGGCAAACACAUUGCAAGUUGUGAGCCUUUCAAUUCAUAUCCCUCUUUUGAACUCUAUCCUCCUUGGGAUUAAAAAUACAAAGUGAGGCUAAAAGUAUAAGUUGGGGGUGGUAAAGAUUGGAAGAGGUAUCUUUGGGCCACGAGAAUGUAAUAUAGUUCCUAAGAGAUAAAUUUGGAGAACAAAUGAAUAGAAAAUAGAAGGGACCCAAGAAAAGAAAGAAAAACAUGAAAUGUACACGGUAAAGAGGUAAAAAGAAGAUGCUUUCAAAAAGAUGGGUGAAUCAAAGUAGUAAUAGUAGGCACAUGUUUAAAGAGUGAAAACAAAAGAAGUGGUUCAUGGACAAAAGUUGGAUGAAAAAGUUUAAUGUAGAUGUUUAAGGAGGGUAUAGUCACUUGUUCCCAAAUAAUAUCCUACCCUACCCCGAACCUAUAUUACAAGCUCCAAAAGCCCUUUGAGAACUCCAACUAAGUGCAUUCAUUGUAGUGGUGAUUGAAAGUAGGGGCAAGCCUUUGUCUUGGUACUUGUUUACAUUGAGUGUUAUUAAGAGAGAGAGAGAGAUUUUUGUACUUAAAUUCAUUGUUGCAUAUUUAAUAACUUGGUGUGUGGAUUUUUCUUUCUUGUGAGGAGGUGAUGUUGGGUGUAUUUAUGCACUUUAGCAUUGCUAUCCUAACUUAUAUAACUUUGUUUUUAGGUUGAUUCAUGUCUUUAAUGAGUGAAUGGUGAUAUAAAUAAGCAUGUAAGUGUUCAAGUAUGUGAUUGCAAUGUGUAAAAGUGUUUUCAAAUAAGUUUGUGCUUAAUUGAGCCAUUUUGAGUUCAAACGAGCAAACUUGUGUUACUAGCUUGAGCAAUUUGUCAUUCUAGUUAGUCUCGGUGGAUUCUACUGUGUUAAAUGAGUUCUUUAUGGUGUGAAUGUGUAAUUAUAUGUGUAUAAACUUGUUUAUAGUGUGCAACAUUCAAUUAAAAUGAGCCAAGAGUCAACAAUUUAUUAAAGCAUAAAGUGGUCGAGACUAGUGCUUAGAUUGAGUUUCUAGUUUGCUAUUGUUGAGGUUGUUUUGUGUUGAACUCUAAUGUGUGGUGUUUGAUCAUGUCAGAUUCUUGAACAGUUGAUGUAGAUGAUAUUUUGAUGUUGAAAUAUCUGGAAUUGUAGGCAAAAUAACACCACAAGGCAAGGAUGGACGAUAACACUUAGAUAAAAUUUUGGAAGCAAAUUCCAGUGAGCAGAGAAGAAUAGCCCGCGAUGCCUUAGACAUAGCAGUGCAAUGAAGCCUACAUAACCCCAGCCAUAUCAUUGCAAUGGUGCCCGUGCAGCCCCUCAUGGAGCGGUGCAAUAGAGCCUGCGAUACCCUAGGUAGUUCGGUGCUCUCAUAGACACGACGUCUCUAAAUCCUACAUGGCUUAGGCUUUCUUCUACAAUAAAUACACACUUUAAAUACUUUGUACUCUACCUUUUGACUUCUUGGAGCAUUGUGAGGGGCUGAAAAACACUUUAU
Molecule: long non-coding RNA, 19057 nt
Filed under: Capsicum annuum
Lineage: Eukaryota; Viridiplantae; Streptophyta; Magnoliopsida; Solanales; Solanaceae
Description: long non-coding RNA (CANN_LNC005146)
Source: RNAcentral